GACGAACGCUGGCGGCGUGCUUAACACAUGCAAGUCGAACGGAAAGGCCCUGCUUUUGUGGGGUGCUCGAGUGGCGAACGGGUGAGUAACCCGUGAGUAACCUGCCCCUGACUUUGGGAUAACUUCAGGAAACUGGGGCUAAUACCGGCUAGGAGCUCCUGCUGCAUGGUGGGGGUUGGAUAGUUUCGGCGGUUGGGGAUGGACUCGCGGCUUAUCGGCUUGUUGGUGGGGUAGUGGCUUACCAAGGCUUUGACGGGUAGCCGGCCUGAGAGGGUGACCGGCCACAUUGGGACUGAGAUACGGCCCAGACUCGUACGGGAGGCAGCAGUGGGGAAGAUUGCACAAUGGGCGGAAGCCUGAUGCAGCAACGCCGCGUGGGGGAAGACGGCCUUCGGGUUGGAAACCGCUUUCGCCUGUGACGAAGCGUGAGUGACGGUAAUGGGUAAAGAAGCACCGGCUAACUACGUG
RNAcentral lists this ribosomal RNA (468 nucleotides) under uncultured bacterium. Its description in RNAcentral is "partial 16S ribosomal RNA". It matches the Rfam family "Bacterial small subunit ribosomal RNA", at positions 28 to 507 of the family's 1533-position model. The record is from RNAcentral.